CCUACGGGAGGCAGCAGUGAGGAAUAUUGGUCAAUGGACGCAAGUCUGAACCAGCCAUGCCGCGUGCAGGAAGACGGUUCUAUGAGUUGUAAACUGCUUUUGUACGAGGGUAAACGCAGAUACGCGUAUCCUUCUGAAUGUAUCUUACGAAUAAGGAUCGGCUAACUCCGUGCCAGCAGCCGCGGUAAUACGGAGGAUUCAAGCGUUAUCCGGAUUUAUUGGGUUUAAAGGGUGCGUAGGCGGUCGGAUAAGUUAGGGGUGAAAUCCCGGGGCUCAACUUCGGAAGUGCCUCUGAUACUGUUGGGCUGGAGAGUGGUUGAGGUAGGCGGAAUGUAUGGUGUAGCGGUGAAAUGCUUAGAGAUCAUACAGAACACCGAUUGCGAAGGCAGCUUACCGAGCUACAUCUGACGUUGAGGCACGAAAGCGUGGGGAGCAAACAGGAUUAGAUACCCCUGUAGUC
Molecule: ribosomal RNA, 460 nt
Filed under: uncultured bacterium
Lineage: Bacteria
Description: partial 16S ribosomal RNA
Rfam family: Bacterial small subunit ribosomal RNA
Source: RNAcentral